UUGGCCCUGAAUCAAGGCUGCUGGCUUGCUGUAGCCACUGGUUUCAAACAGGCGCCCAAAGAAAUGUCUUCCUAUGGUCUGUUGGCUGUUCAAUUGCUUUAGACUAGAACAGCCAAUUCAGUUGGAAGCAACAAGC
Podarcis muralis (Common wall lizard) is the source of this 136-nucleotide small nucleolar RNA. The record is from Ensembl. Lineage: Eukaryota; Metazoa; Chordata; Lepidosauria; Squamata; Lacertidae.